CAGAGUAACUUAAUUCAGGUCUA
This 23-nucleotide non-coding RNA is filed under the name Arabidopsis thaliana (thale cress). Lineage: Eukaryota; Viridiplantae; Streptophyta; Magnoliopsida; Brassicales; Brassicaceae. The record is from RNAcentral.